UACGUAGGUGACAAGCGUUGUCCGGAUUUACUGGGCGUAAAGAGCGCGCAGGCGGUCGAUCAAGUCGAGUGUGAAAGCCCCCGGCUCAACUGGGGAGGGUCAUUCGAUACUGAUCGACUCGAAGGCAGGAGAGGGUAGUGGAAUUCCCGGUGUAGUGGUGAAAUGCGUAGAUAUCGGGAAGAACACCAGUGGCGAAGGCGGCUGCCUGGCCUGUAACUGACGCUGAGACGCGAAAGCGUGGGGAGCGAACCGG
Molecule: ribosomal RNA, 253 nt
Filed under: uncultured bacterium
Lineage: Bacteria
Description: partial 16S ribosomal RNA
Rfam family: Bacterial small subunit ribosomal RNA
Source: RNAcentral